RNAcentral lists this ribosomal RNA (449 nucleotides) under uncultured bacterium. RNAcentral's name for it is "partial 16S ribosomal RNA". It matches the Rfam family "Bacterial small subunit ribosomal RNA", at positions 29 to 523 of the family's 1533-position model. The record is from RNAcentral.
AACGAAUGCUGGCGGCAUGCCUAACACAUGCAGGUCGAACGAAGCCUUCGGGCUUAGUGGCGCACGGGUGCGUAACGCGUGGGAAUCUGCCCUUUGGUUCGGAAUAACAGUUGGAAACGACUGCUAAUACCGGAUGAUGACGAAAGUCCAAAGAUUUAUCGCCAGAGGAUGAGCCCGCGUAGGAUGAGCUGGUUGGUGUGGUAAAGGCGCACCAAGGCGACGAUCCUUAGCUGGUCUGAGAGGAUGAUCAGCCACACUGGGACUGAGACACGGCCCAGACUCCUACGGGAGGCAGCAGUGGGGAAUAUUGGACAAUGGGCGAAAGCCUGAUCCAGCAAUGCCGCGUGAGUGAUGAAGGCCCUAGGGUUGUAAAGCUCUUUUACCCGGGAUGAUAAUGACAGUACCGGGAGAAUAAGCCCCGGCUAACUCCGUGCCAGCCGCCGCCGUAA